UUUUUUUUUUUUUUUUUUUUUUUUCAUUCCUUACUUUGUCUUC
Molecule: non-coding RNA, 43 nt
Filed under: Chromera velia
Lineage: Eukaryota; Chromeraceae
Source: RNAcentral